Long non-coding RNA from Sorghum bicolor (sorghum), 1857 nucleotides. RefSeq lists it as uncharacterized. Lineage: Eukaryota; Viridiplantae; Streptophyta; Magnoliopsida; Poales; Poaceae. The record is from RefSeq and is a predicted model, not a curated record. The transcript has 2 exons.
UACACAUAAAUUGUUACUAAAAAUUUUAUUUUCGAAACAUAUACAAGUGGGAUCUAGUUUUAUUUGGCUUAUCGCAUAAAACACACCGAUAUGAACAGAAUUAAAAAGAGAUAUACCAUUUAAAAGUUAUACCAUUUUAUGGCAUCAGCAGUAUUGGGAAGCGUAUGGAAAGUGAAUUGAGUAUAGGCGUGAUUUUAUCAUCCAAAAAAAAUAGGCGUGAAUUAUUUUCCUACGUUUUCAAAAAUAAUUAGUUUCUAAAACAAAAAAUACUGAUGAAUCUUAAAGGGAAUGUUACUCUCACAGUUGUUCUCAAAAUUUAAAUUAGGUGCAAGUUUAAAUUUGCGGAAAAUAAAAAGUAAUGUUGUAUAACUUAGUAUGCUUAUCUUAUUCCUUAAAGUUAUAUUGUAUAACUUAGUUAGUGUAAGUUAUGUGCGCAACGGAAAAGAAAAAGUAAUGAUGUAUAACUUAGUAUGCUUAACUUAUUUCUUAAAGUUAUGUUGUGUAACUUAGUUAGUGUAAGUUAUGUGUGCACGCUUUUUUUUAAAAAAAUGGUACAAAUGAAUGUUAAAAUAAAAUGCUACGCAUUUUUUAGAAUAAAAAUAUAACGUUAUGUGUGUUAGAGUGCGCAAAAAGAGAAAGAGAUAUGUGUACGUCCCGUUCUUAAAAAGUCCAUACAAAUCAGGUUAUCCAAAAAGAAAACAUGCGGGAAUAAUUUUCUUGCCAAAAAAGGAAAACUUUUCGCUGAUCUAGGUACUGGUGAACGUUCGUUAAUUAGUGGUGGCCGGAGGCCUUCUUUCUUUCUCAUAUGUCAGGUCUUCAAAACAUAUCCAUGUAAAUCGUCUGAUGCAGGCGAGUCAUGGGAGCAGGUUAUGGUAGUUUUUUUAAUCGUUCUUAACUGCUUUCCGUAAACUACAGAAUGCUGUAUUUCCGUUGGAUGCAAUGGGAAUGUGGAAGGUUCCUCACGUAAAAAACAAAAAGAACCAAAAGAGGAUAUGCGUAUUGGUAAUAAAGCAUAGAUGAGAUAUAUCGAUAUUUUUUAUGUGUGUGUGUGGCUAGGAACUCUUGCAGUACAUCACCAGGAAAACUAAAAGGGGAUGACUAUUUCAUGAAUUCAGAGACAAUUGGAUUAUUGUUCGUGUGCUCUGCAAAUUCAGUCUCCUUUACUGGAAACAGAGGGUAUCCACUGAAAACCGAAGCUAUUUCUUUUUGACAAAUAGCAGCUUUAUUGAAUUAGCAGCAAGACGCUGCAAUUAUAUUACAGACACUACACAAGUCUUUUAUCGCUGUCUUUAGCGGACAGGAUGGUACAUGCUGCAGAUUGGAGCAGGAACAAGUUGGUUGCCCCUUGUUCUCGUGAAACCCUGAGAGAGCUUGCCUAGCUAGGGAGUGAGCCUCAGCAUUUUGCUUCCUAUCUAUUUUAAGGACUGAGCCCUGUACUCUGUCCUUGUUGUUGCAGAAGACUUGAGUGAAAGGCUUUAUUCUCUAAUCUGGUGGUCUGUCCAAGUUAUCCUUCUGUAAGUUGUCCACCAAUGUCUGAUUGUCCGUGAAGAAAAGGACAGAUUGGAGACCAAGACCUGCAGCAAGAAUUGAGGUAAAGGAGAGAGCUGCUGCUUCAGCCAUCAGAACUGAGGAGCAGUUUUCAAAUGUCGCCGAGAUGGUGUUGGAGUUGUGGUUGAGUAGCGUAGAGAUUCAACUGGCUUCCGUGGUAUUUGGUGGCCUCCCUUGCCACCUGAUUGUUAGUGUGUAUGUGCGCCCGAGUUGCAUAAUGGACCUGCAAAACAGACCAUUUUCUUUGUCGAAAGCGAAGCUCAUUCCGAGCUUUCCAAAUGAACCAUAAGGUGGUUAUUAUUUUGAUCA